Molecule: unclassified non-coding RNA, 158 nt
Filed under: uncultured fungus
Lineage: Eukaryota; Fungi
Description: sequence contains ITS1
Source: RNAcentral
CAAUGAGUGUAUAAUGGCACUCUAAAUCCAUUACCCACCUUGUGUGCAUUGUCGAAAGGGGGGGAAGGGCAAUACCCAUUGCUCUUUUCCUUUUUUAUACAUACCAACUUUUUUCAGUAUCAGUCUACUUCUAUUUAGAGUAUAAAAAACUCGAAAUA